GCGAAGGUGGCGGAAUUGGUAGACGCGCUANNCUAGCUUCAGGUGUUAGUGUCCUUACGGACGUGGGGGUUCAAGUCCCCCCCCUCGCACCA
RNAcentral lists this transfer RNA (92 nucleotides) under Klebsiella pneumoniae. RNAcentral describes it as "tRNA-Leu". It matches the Rfam family "tRNA". Rfam says of the family: Transfer RNA (tRNA) molecules are approximately 80 nucleotides in length. Their secondary structure includes four short double-helical elements and three loops (D, anti-codon, and T loops). Lineage: Bacteria; Pseudomonadati; Pseudomonadota; Gammaproteobacteria; Enterobacterales; Enterobacteriaceae. The record is from RNAcentral.